RNAcentral lists this ribosomal RNA (181 nucleotides) under uncultured Runella sp. RNAcentral describes it as "partial 16S ribosomal RNA". It matches the Rfam family "Bacterial small subunit ribosomal RNA", at positions 346 to 524 of the family's 1533-position model. Lineage: Bacteria; Pseudomonadati; Bacteroidota; Cytophagia; Cytophagales; Spirosomataceae. The record is from RNAcentral.
AGGCAGGGGUGGGGAGUAUUGUUCAGUGGAUGGGAGUCUGACCCGGCGAUGCCGGGUGGGGGAAGAAGGUCAGGUGGGUGGGAAACUGAUUUUAUCGGGGGAGAAUAGGUUUGUUGAGUGGGAGUGUGAGGGUGCGGGAUGAAUAAGCCACGGCUAGCUCCGUGCCAGCAGGCGCGGUAAU